RNAcentral lists this ribosomal RNA (438 nucleotides) under uncultured bacterium. RNAcentral describes it as "bacterial SSU rRNA". It matches the Rfam family "Bacterial small subunit ribosomal RNA", at positions 339 to 791 of the family's 1533-position model. The record is from RNAcentral.
GUACGGGAGGCAGCAGUGGGGAAUUUUCCGCAAUGGGCGAAAGCCUGACGGAGCAAUACCGCGUGAGGGAGGAAGGCUCUUGGGUUGUAAACCUCUUUUGAUCGGGAAGAAGACAGUGACGGUACCGAUCGAAUCAGCAUCGGCUAACUCCGUGCCAGCAGCCGCGGUAAUACGGAGGAUGCAAGCGUUAUCCGGAUUUAUUGGGCGUAAAGCGUCCGCAGGUGGUUGAGCAAGUCUGCUGUCAAAGCGCGGAGCUUAACUCCGUAAAGGCAGUGGAAACUGUUUAACUUGAGUACGGUAGGGGUAGCGGGAAUUCCCAGUGUAGCGGUGAAAUGCGUAGAUAUUGGGAAGAACACCAGCGGCGAAAGCGCGCUACUGGGCCUGUACUGACACUGAGGGACGAAAGCUAGGGGAGCGAAAGGGAUUAGAUACCCCGGU